This 1245-nucleotide long non-coding RNA is filed under the name Marmota monax (woodchuck). The record is from RNAcentral. Lineage: Eukaryota; Metazoa; Chordata; Mammalia; Rodentia; Sciuridae.
GGAAGGUUCCCUGAGAGAGCACGAUGCUUGCCUGCCAGAAGACCUCGGCAUGAGGAUUUCCAGGGACCAGAGCUGCCCUGGCCCCAGCCUCCCAGCUGAUGGCAGAAAACCACUCCUUCGGUUCUUCACCACCAGCACCAGGCCUGAUGGAGCCCAGGGCUCAGGAAUUCAGCUGAGGGCACCGGCUGUGUGCCAGGCCCUGGAGUCAGAUAAUCCAGGCUGUGCUCAGAUGCUGCCCAAGCUGGGAGCUCCACCCUGGGCUCCAUCCACCACCCAAAGGUGGUGGUACCUGAGGAGGCCCUUCCUUUUAUCCUUAGUCUAAGACCAUUUCUGACCCUGCUUUUCCCACUAGUCUGGGUCUGGCUGACUGGAUGCCCCUCUGAGAGAAGCCAGAGUCCAAAAUCAAGGUGUCCGCAGAGCUACUUUGCCAGAGGUUUGGUCUCAGGAUCUGGAGUGGUCAUUCUCCCCCUACCGACCGAAGUUAUGCCCUCUGAAUUGUCCUUUGAAAGCUUCUCCGUGUCCCCACCCUGCCCUACUCUAUUGAUAAGGACAAGGUGGCAGAGGUCCUGUGCCCCGGGUUGGGUAUUUCCAGAUGAUUCAGAAAAAAAGUGAUGGAUGCCCCAAUGGUCUACACAGGAAAGGAGGAUUUCUGGCACCUCAGGUCACAUUUGGAGCUGGAAGGGACCCGAAGAGAGCCUCUCCUCACCCCAGCCACACAGAUGAGGAAACCGAGGUCCAAGACAAAGACAUGAUUUCCUCACUGUAACAGAAAGGCAGGCCAUGGCCAAGGACCUCACACUCUGGGCCUUUCUUAGGGUUCUGGGGUCCCACUCAGAAGGGAAGACUCAGAUCAGGAAAUGCAGAUGGACUCCCCAGAGGCAGGGCCUCUAUUCAGGUGAUUUAACUGGAGAGGCUCAGGAAGGAGGCAGUUGAAGCAGGGAGCUAAUGGAGAUGUGGUCUCCACUAGAGUGAGCCCCAACCUGAUGGCAUGGGGGAGGGGAGUUCUGGAACAUGAAUAGCAUCACAGUUAGUCCCGCCUGAGGCUUAGGGUCGCCUUUUGUACCACCCUGUGAGUCUAUCAUCAGCCAAGUUCUGCCCAGGCGGAGGGAGCUUUUAUUUGACUGACCACAGAGCUCCAGGGAAGGGACAGCUGUGAGCCAUUAGCAGCAACCCUCUGCAGCGGGGGUCAGGUGAGCCUGCAGGAGAGAAGGAAAAUAAGCUGCUCUCCUCCCCAAAGCCUCGAAG